RNAcentral lists this small RNA (579 nucleotides) under uncultured bacterium. RNAcentral's name for it is "bacterial SSU rRNA". The stretch from base 1 to 409 matches the Rfam family "Bacterial small subunit ribosomal RNA", at positions 1129 to 1533 of the family's 1533-position model. The record is from RNAcentral.
GUUUGGGGACUCAUAGGAGACUGCCGGUGAUAAACCGGAGGAAGGUGGGGACGACGUCAAGUCAUCAUGCUCCUUUAUGUCCAGGGCUGCACGCAUGCUACAAUGGCAAGUACACCGAGUCGCAAUCUCGCGAGGUGGAGCAAAUCUCUUAAAGCUUGUCUCAGUUCGGAUAGGAGUCUGCAACUCGACUCCUUGAAGUUGGAGUCGCUAGUAAUCGCAAAUCAGCAAAGUUGCGGUGAAUACGUUCUCGGGGUUGGUACACACCGCCCGUCAAGUCACGGAAGUCGGCAAUACCCGAAUCCAGUGGUCCAACCCUUUUGGGAGGAAGCUGUCGAUGGUAGGGUCGGUAACUGGGUCUAAGUCGUAACAAGGUAGCCGUACGGGAACGUGCGGCUGGAUCACCUCCUUUCUAAGGAGCAUAGAACUUCGGUUCUAAGGUCAAUCGUCGGUUGUCUACAAGACUGAUACAUUACUCAGCUGUGAAAAAGUCAAAUUGGCUUUUUGAAAAUUGUAUAGCAAGCGCAAUUGCAAAGUAUUCAUAUAGUUCAAGCUACUAAGGGCUACUGGUGGAUGCCUUGG